RNAcentral lists this ribosomal RNA (925 nucleotides) under Bacteroidetes bacterium ADurb.Bin123. RNAcentral's name for it is "bacterial SSU rRNA". It matches the Rfam family "Bacterial small subunit ribosomal RNA", at positions 8 to 936 of the family's 1533-position model. The record is from RNAcentral. Lineage: Bacteria; Pseudomonadati; Bacteroidota.
AGAGUUUGAUCCUGGCUCAGGAUGAACGCUAGCGGGAGGCUUAACACAUGCAAGUCGAGGGGUAAAUGGCAGCAAUGCUAUGAGACCGGCGGACGGGUGCGUAACGCGUAUGCAACAUACCUUGUGCAGGGGGAUAGCCCGUGGAAACGCGGAUUAAUAUUCCAUAGUCCAGCUAUAUCGCAUGGUAUAGUUGGUAAAGAUUUAUCGGCACAAGUUUGGCAUGCGUCUGAUUAGCUUGUUGGUAGGGUAACGGCCUACCAAGGCUACGAUCAGUAGGGGUUCUGAGAGGAUUAACCCCCACACUGGUACUGAGACACGGACCAGACUCCUACGGGAGGCAGCAGUGAGGAAUAUUGGUCAAUGGGCGGAAGCCUGAACCAGCCAUCCCGCGUGAAGGAAGACAGCCUUACGGGUUGUAAACUUCUUUUCUGUCAGAAGAAUAAGCUUGUCGAGACGAGUGAUGCCGGUAUGACAGGAAUAAGCAUCGGCUAACUCCGUGCCAGCAGCCGCGGUAAUACGGAGGAUGCAAGCGUUAUCCGGAUUUAUUGGGUUUAAAGGGUGCGCAGGUUGUUUGAUAAGUCAGUGGUGAAAGUCUGUCGCUUAACGGUAGGAUUGCCAUUGAUACUGUUGGACUUGAAUAUGGAUGAGGUAGGCGGAAUGUGUAGUGUAGCGGUGAAAUGCAUAGAUAUUACACAGAACACCGAUUGCGAAGGCAGCUUACUAAUCCAUCAUUGACGCUGAGGCACGAAAGCGUGGGGAUCAAACAGGAUUAGAUACCCUGGUAGUCCACGCCGUAAACGAUGAUCACUCGCUGUUUGCGAUAUACAGUAAGCGGCUAAGCGAAAGCGUUAAGUGAUCCACCUGGGGAGUACGAUCGCAAGGUUGAAACUCAAAGGAAUUGACGGGGGCCCGCACAAGCGGAGGA